This is a long non-coding RNA of Lingula anatina, 487 nucleotides long. The record is from RefSeq and is a predicted model, not a curated record. Lineage: Eukaryota; Metazoa; Brachiopoda; Lingulata; Lingulida; Lingulidae.
GCGCGGCUGUGGCUGUGGAGAAAGGCAAAGGGAGUACGCAUGCUGGGACCCAUAUUACGAACAAAUACCCAUGUUGGACAGAAAACCGCCGUAUUCGGACUGCAGAGUUUGGCAAAGACAACGGUGUAACAGUAUAGCUUGUUCUGCAGCAGAAUGUGAUUAUAACACCAACCCCGACUGCGGUUGUUGCGAAGGGUUUGUCAGAGACGAUUAUAACCAAUGUGUACGACAACCAUAAGUCAUCGAGAAUGAGACACUUAGAUGUAAAAAUUAGAGAUAUUGGGAUCGCAAAGAAUUUGGAACUCAAACAUCCUAAGUUAUAAUUAUUAUCAUUGAAUAAUAACGGAUCAAUUAGACGUGGAUGGUCAUAAAAGCAAGACUUCAAAAACAUCAUGAAAGGAAAGGACACACAGUUGUCUCCACGAGCUGCUCACGUACAUAACUUGUUCAUUUUGAUUACAUCAUUAAUAAAAUGUAAUAUAACAUA